Molecule: ribosomal RNA, 1485 nt
Filed under: metagenome
Description: bacterial SSU rRNA
Rfam family: Bacterial small subunit ribosomal RNA
Source: RNAcentral
AGAGUUUGAUCCUAGCUCAGGAUAAACGCUGGCGGCAGGCUUCAUACAUGCAAGUCGAGGGGCAGCAGUGUACUUUUGUACAGCUGGCGACCGGCAGACGGGUGCGUAACACGUAUAUAAUCUACCUCGUACUGGAGAAUAGCUUUUGGCAACAAAAAUUAAUGCUCCGUAUAAUCUUUUUAUCGCAUGAUAAUAAGAUGAAAGCUCCGGCGGUACAAGAUGAGUAUGCGUCCUAUUAGCUAGUUGGUAAGGUAACGGCUUACCAAGGCAACGAUGGGUAGGGGAUCUGAAAGGAUGUACCCCCACACUGGCACUGAGAUACGGGCCAGACUUCUACGGAAGGCAGCAGUAGGGAAUAUUGGUCAAUGAGCGCAAGCUUGAACCAGCCAUGCCGUGUGCAGGAAGAAGGCCCAUUGGGUUGUAAACUGCUUUUGUACGGGAGAAAUAAACUUCUGCGGAAGUUGAAUUGAUAGUACCGUAAGAAUAAGCACCGGCUAACUCCGUGCCAGCAGCCGCGGUAAGACGGAGGGUGCAAGUGUUAUCCGGAUUCAUUAGGUUUAAAGGGUACGUAGGCGGUUUAGUAAGUCAUUGGUGAAAACUAGCAGCUCAACUGUUAGCUUGCCAUUGAUACUACUAGACUUGAGUAUAGUCUAGGUGGGCGGAAUUCCACAUGUAGCGGUGAAAUGCGUAGAUAUGUGGAGGAACGCCAAUAACGAAGGUAGCUCACUGGGCUAUUACUGACGCUGAGGUACGAAAGUGUGGGGAGCGAAUAGGAUUAGAUACCCUAGUAGUCCACACUGUAAACGAUGGUCACUCGAUGUAUACUCUUUUGAGGGUAUGUGUCCAAGCGAAAGCGUUAAGUGACCCACCUGGGGAGUACGCUCGCAAGAGUGAAACUUAAAGGAAUUGACGGGAUCCGCACAAGCGGUGGAGCAUGUGGUUUAAUUCGUUGAUACUCGAUGAACCUUACCUAGGCUCAAACGUAAGUUGACAUACUAAGAAAUUAGUGUUUCCGCAAGGACAACUUACGAGGUGUUGCAUGGCUGUCGUCAGCUCGUGCCGUGAGGUGUUGGGUUAAGUCCUAUAACGAGCGCAACCCCUAUGCUUAGUUGCCAGCACAUUAUGGUGGGGACUCUAAGCAAACUGCCUGCGGAAGCAGGAGGAAGGUGGGGAUGAGGUCAAGUCAUCAUGGCCCUUAUGUCUAGGGCUACACACGUGCUACAAUGGCGUGUACAGCGGGUUGCUACCUGGCAACAGGAUGCUAAUCCCUUAAAACACGUCCCAGUUCGGAUUGAGGUCUGCAAUUCGACCUCAUGAAGUCGGAAUCGCUAGUAAUCGCGUGUCAGCAUAGCGCGGUGAAUACGUUCCCGGAUCUUGUACACACCGCCCGUCAAGCCAUGGGAGUUAGGGGAACUUGAAGACAGUUACUGUAAAAGGGGCUGUUUAGGGUUAAACUAGCGACUGGGGUUAAGUCGUAACAAGGUA